Molecule: transfer RNA, 77 nt
Filed under: Terriglobia bacterium
Lineage: Bacteria; Pseudomonadati; Acidobacteriota; Terriglobia
Also listed under: 2 other names
Description: tRNA-His
Rfam family: tRNA
About the family: Transfer RNA (tRNA) molecules are approximately 80 nucleotides in length.
Source: RNAcentral
GUGGGAGUAGCUCAACUUGGUAGAGCAUCGGACUGUGGCUCCGACGGUUGCGGGUUCAAUUCCCGUCUCCCACCCCA